CCUUCAUGAAGCUGGAAUUGCUAGUAAUGGCAGGUCAGCAUACUGCCGUGAAUACGUUCCCGGGCCUUGUACACACCGCCCGUCACACCAUGAGAGUUGGGAAUACCCGAAGCCUGUGAGCUAACUUAUAGAGGCAGCAGUCGAAGGUAGAAUCAAUGAUUGGGGUGAAGUCGUAACAAGGUAGC
RNAcentral lists this ribosomal RNA (185 nucleotides) under uncultured bacterium. Its description in RNAcentral is "partial 16S ribosomal RNA". It matches the Rfam family "Bacterial small subunit ribosomal RNA", at positions 1315 to 1500 of the family's 1533-position model. The record is from RNAcentral.